ACGGCUUACACGAGGGUAAGCAAUAGCCAUUAGUGAAAGAAAAAGAAAACUAAACAUUCACUUGUACUAUGAUUCAUUUUUGAUCAUAUACAUUGCAUUCAUCUUGUUCAUUUUCAAAUUCCUUACAUUUCAUUUCAUCAUUUCUUUCUUACAUCACAUUUACCUCAAAAUACACAUUACAUUCUUUUCUUUACAUCAUUUACCAUCAUGUACA
RNAcentral lists this long non-coding RNA (214 nucleotides) under Ananas comosus (pineapple). Its description in RNAcentral is "long non-coding RNA (ACOM_LNC005285)". Lineage: Eukaryota; Viridiplantae; Streptophyta; Magnoliopsida; Poales; Bromeliaceae. The record is from RNAcentral.